Small nuclear RNA from Centruroides sculpturatus (bark scorpion), 123 nucleotides. RefSeq annotates it as U5 spliceosomal RNA. The record is from RefSeq and is a predicted model, not a curated record. NCBI's taxonomy places the organism in Eukaryota, Metazoa, Arthropoda, Arachnida, Scorpiones, Buthidae. The transcript has a single exon.
CUGUACAGUACUUUCCUUGACUUAAUAAACUUUAUAUAUUUCGCCUUUUACUAAAGAUUACCGUGGAGGGGAACAUUACAAUGAGCCUAUAGGCAAUUUUUGAAAUCCCGCUUUACGCGGGAU